AAAAACCUUCAACAAUUCACAGACAGUAGCACCAAGAGUUCCACUUCCUCAGUAUUAAGUGGCAUACCACAAUCAGAAGUACUUCUAUGCAGCACGAAAUCCUCCCGAACCGCGACGUUCAUAUGGUCCAGACCGGUCACGAUUAUAACGAUCAGUUCCUGGAUUUCCACGGUUGCCAGCAUCCCUGUUACGGCCACCAAAUCGAUCUCCAUUUCGAUCAGGACC
This 225-nucleotide unclassified non-coding RNA is filed under the name Hevea brasiliensis (rubber tree). Lineage: Eukaryota; Viridiplantae; Streptophyta; Magnoliopsida; Malpighiales; Euphorbiaceae. The record is from RNAcentral.